This 511-nucleotide long non-coding RNA is filed under the name Dermacentor andersoni. RNAcentral describes it as "uncharacterized LOC126518998". Lineage: Eukaryota; Metazoa; Arthropoda; Arachnida; Ixodida; Ixodidae. The record is from RNAcentral.
GCGGGUAAAUACAGUACUCUUGUGACACCAAGCUCACUUGUUUUAAUGCAGGUGUGGCUGGGCCUGCAGAAAAGCUGUAAGCAGACUGCAGUGUUGCUGAUCAGUGCUGAUCUCCAUGUCCGAGUUGGUCCCACAAUAUCCAGGCACCACGGUGCUUUCACAAGGUUCACAAUCGAAAUGGGUUAUUUAUUUGUGCUAGUAAGUGGAUGUGGGUAAACCAAGCCAAAACGGACAGCACGUUUGCCAGGGAGAUUGCCCGAUGCUUGUGGCAGGCACAGGAAUUAAUCCACAGGAGUGUUACGAGCAAAAGUAUGUAUGCGAAAGCUAAAGGAAGGUGGUGAGGCCAAGCCAGCGUUGACACCACAAAAUCUUGGUGCAUAUCUAAAGGCAUACGAGCACUUUGUUUCAAAAACGCCAAGCACCGUGGAUACAGAGGCAAGGAGGCUGAAGGACCUGAACAAGCACCUGGCCACCAUGCUUCGGGAUGCAAAAUAAAGAUGGUUUGUGUUAA